RNAcentral lists this ribosomal RNA (531 nucleotides) under uncultured bacterium. RNAcentral describes it as "bacterial SSU rRNA". It matches the Rfam family "Bacterial small subunit ribosomal RNA", at positions 777 to 1304 of the family's 1533-position model. The record is from RNAcentral.
AAUAGAUACCCAGCUAGUCCACGCCGUAAACGGUGGGUACUAGGUGUGGGUUUCCUUCCUUGGGAUCCGUGCCGUAGCUAACGCAUUAAGUACCCCGCCUGGGGAGUACGGCCGCAAGGCUAAAACUCAAAGGAAUUGACGGGGGGCCCGCACAAGCGGCGGAGCAUGUGGAUUAAUUCGAUGCAACGCGAAGAACCCUACCUGGGUUUGACAUGCACAGGACGCCGGCAGAGAUGUCGGUUCCCUUGUGGCCUGUGUGCAGGUGGUGCAUGGCUGUCGUCAGCUCGUGUCGUGAGAUGUUGGGUUAAGUCCCGCAACGAGCGCAACCCUUGUCCUAUGUUGCCAGCGGGUUAUGCCGGGGACUCGUAGGAGACUGCCGGGGUCAACUCGGAGGAAGGUGGGGAUGACGUCAAGUCAUCAUGCCCCUUAUGUCCAGGGCUUCACACAUGCUACAAUGGCCGGUACAAAGGGCUGCGAUGCCGUGAGGUGGAGCGAAUCCUUGGUAAAGCCGGUCUCAGUUCGGAUCGGGGU